GAUUUUUGAAGGAAAAUCUCUAUUCAUUAUAGUAAGUACAAAAAUGAAUACAUAUCAGAAAAGUCCUCAAGGGACUGUACAUCAUAAAAUCAAAAAUACACUAGGGUCGUCUAGUAGUGGAGGAUGUGGCUCCCAUACUCAGUCUAGUAUGUCGCAUGACCAAGCUUAUCCCCUCAGAUACAUUCCCUAGUUGUGUGAUGAUCU
Molecule: long non-coding RNA, 204 nt
Filed under: Phoenix dactylifera (date palm)
Lineage: Eukaryota; Viridiplantae; Streptophyta; Magnoliopsida; Arecales; Arecaceae
Description: long non-coding RNA (PDAC_LNC010876)
Source: RNAcentral